RNAcentral lists this transfer RNA (73 nucleotides) under Bacteroidales bacterium. Its description in RNAcentral is "tRNA-Lys". It matches the Rfam family "tRNA". Rfam says of the family: Transfer RNA (tRNA) molecules are approximately 80 nucleotides in length. Their secondary structure includes four short double-helical elements and three loops (D, anti-codon, and T loops). The record is from RNAcentral. Lineage: Bacteria; Pseudomonadati; Bacteroidota; Bacteroidia; Bacteroidales.
GAUUCAGUAGCUCAGUUGGUAGAGCAUUGCCCUUUUAAGGCAAGGGUCCUGGGUUCGAGCCCCAGCUGAAUCA